UGUUCUUGCGCUGGUCACCCUGUAGCUGAACUACUUCUCCAUAUUCUGGAUGCUCAAUUACAGUACCAUUGCAGGCAAAUUUCUUCUUAAACGCCUUCACUAGUUUCUUUUUAUCGUAAUCAUCAAGAUCGGAAGAGCACA
Molecule: long non-coding RNA, 141 nt
Organism: Nannospalax galili (Upper Galilee mountains blind mole rat)
Lineage: Eukaryota; Metazoa; Chordata; Mammalia; Rodentia; Spalacidae
Exons: 4
Source: RefSeq, a predicted model, not a curated record